UGAUCCUGGCUCACAAUGAACGCUAACGGCAUGGAUUAGGCAUGCAAGUCGAGCGCCCUGCUUGCAGGGAGCGGCGAAAGGGUGAGUAACGCGUGAGCAACUGCCCGAGGUCGGGAUACCCCGCGAAAGCGGGAUUAAUACCGGAUGUGGCGGAAACGCCAAAGGCUUCGGUCGCCUUGGGAUGGGCUCGCGUCCUAUCAGCUUGUUGGUGCGGUAACGGCGCACCAAGGCAUUGACAGGUAGCUGGUCUGAGAGGAUGGUCAGCCACACUGGGACUGAGACACUGCCCAGACUCCUACGGGAGGCUGCAGUCGAGAAUCUUCCGCAAUGCGCGAAAGCGUGACGGAGCGAUGCCGCGUGCGGGAUGAAGGCCCUCGGGUCGUAAACCGCUGUCACCCGGAACGAAUAUUUGACGGUACCGGGAGAGGAAGCCACGGCUAACUACGUGCCAGCAGCCGCGGUAAUACGUAGGUGGCGAGCGUUAUUCGGAUUUAUUGGGCGUAAAGGGUCCGCAGGGGGCUUCCCAAGUCUGAUGUGAAAGCCCACGGCUCAACCGUGGAACUGCAUUGGAAACUGGGAGGCUUGAGGGCCGGAGAGGAAAGCGGAAUUCCGGGUGUAGCGGUGGAAUGCGUAGAUAUCUGGAGGAACAUCAAUGGCGAAGGCAGCUUUCUGGCCGGUUCCUGACCCUCAUGGACGAAAGCCGGGGGAGCAAACAGGAUUAGAUACCCUGGUAGUCCCGGCCGUAAACGUUGUACACUCGGUGUGGGGGGAUUUGGUCCCUUCUGUGCCUCAGCUAACGCGUUAAGUGUACCGCCUGGGGAGUACGGCGACAACGCUAAAACUCAAAGGAAUUGACGGGGGCCCGCACAAGCGGUGGAGCAUGUGGCUUAAUUCGAGGCAACGCGAAGAACCUUACCUGGGUUUGACAUGUUGGUGACCGUCGGCGAAAGUCGAUUUCUCUUUUGAGCACCAUCACAGAUGCUGCAUGGCUGUCGUCAGCUCGUGUCGUGAGAUGUUCGGUUAAGUCCGGCAACGAGCGCAACCCGUGUCACCAGUUACCAGCGGAUCAUGCCGGGGACUCUGGUGAGACUGCCCGUGCUAAGCGGGAGGAAGGCGCGGAUGACGUCAAGUCCGUAUGGCUCUUACGUCCAGGGCUGCACACGUGCUACAAUGGCCGGUACAAUGGGCCGCGACCUCGCGAGAGGCAGCGAGUCCGGAAAAACCGGCCCCAGUUCGGAUUGGAGUCUGCAAUUCGACUCCAUGAAGUCGGAAUCGCUAGUAAAGGCGUAUCAGCAACGGCGCCUCGAAUACGUUCCCGGGCAUUGUACACACCGCCCGUCACAUCAUGGAAGCCGGCUGUUCCCGAAGUCGCUGACCCAACCCCUCGGGGAGGGAGGUGCCGAAGGAAUGUCCGUCAACUGGGAUGA
RNAcentral lists this ribosomal RNA (1427 nucleotides) under uncultured organism. RNAcentral's name for it is "bacterial SSU rRNA". It matches the Rfam family "Bacterial small subunit ribosomal RNA". The record is from RNAcentral.